UCCCAGUGAUGAAAUUCUCAGAAGUCUUACUUCCUGUCCUAGCCUCAGAGCCUGUAAAGGUGAACCCACUGGGGCUGGCUGGAGGAAAAGAGGAGGAUUUGUUCUGUAAGGAACUGUCUGAGGGAU
Molecule: small nucleolar RNA, 126 nt
Filed under: Octodon degus (degu)
Lineage: Eukaryota; Metazoa; Chordata; Mammalia; Rodentia; Octodontidae
Description: Small nucleolar RNA SNORD22 (ENSODEG00000024996.1)
Rfam family: Small nucleolar RNA SNORD22
About the family: U22 is a member of the C/D class of snoRNA which contain the C (UGAUGA) and D (CUGA) box motifs. U22 is encoded within the U22 snoRNA host gene (UHG) in mammals and has also been identified in Xenopus. U22 is thought to as a 2'-O-ribose methylation guide for ribosomal RNA.
Source: Rfam by way of RNAcentral